Molecule: ribosomal RNA, 255 nt
Filed under: uncultured bacterium
Lineage: Bacteria
Description: partial 16S ribosomal RNA
Rfam family: Bacterial small subunit ribosomal RNA
Source: RNAcentral
UACAGAGGGGGGCAAGCGUUGUUCGGAAUUACUGGGCGUAAAGGGCGCGUAGGCGGCCUUCUAAGUCGAACGUGAAAUCCCCGGGCUCAACCCGGGAACUGCGUCCGAUACUGGAAGGCUUGAAUCCGGGGAGAGGGAUGCGGAAUUCCAGGUGUAGCGGUGAAAUGCGUAGAUAUCUGGAGGAACACCAAUGGCGAAGGCAGCUCGCUGGGACGGUACUGACGCUGAGGCGCGAAAGCGUGGGGAGCAAACAGG